This 618-nucleotide ribosomal RNA is filed under the name Klebsiella pneumoniae. RNAcentral describes it as "partial 23S ribosomal RNA". It matches the Rfam family "Bacterial large subunit ribosomal RNA", at positions 2313 to 2925 of the family's 2925-position model. Lineage: Bacteria; Pseudomonadati; Pseudomonadota; Gammaproteobacteria; Enterobacterales; Enterobacteriaceae. The record is from RNAcentral.
AAGGUUAGCUAAUCCUGGUCGGACAUCAGGAGGUUAGUGCAAUGGCAUAAGCUAGCUUGACUGCGAGCGUGACGGCGCGAGCAGGUGCGAAAGCAGGUCAUAGUGAUCCGGUGGUUCUGAAUGGAAGGGCCAUCGCUCAACGGAUAAAAGGUACUCCGGGGAUAACAGGCUGAUACCGCCCAAGAGUUCAUAUCGACGGCGGUGUUUGGCACCUCGAUGUCGGCUCAUCACAUCCUGGGGCUGAAGUAGGUCCCAAGGGUAUGGCUGUUCGCCAUUUAAAGUGGUACGCGAGCUGGGUUUAGAACGUCGUGAGACAGUUCGGUCCCUAUCUGCCGUGGGCGCUGGAGAAUUGAGGGGGGCUGCUCCUAGUACGAGAGGACCGGAGUGGACGCAUCACUGGUGUUCGGGUUGUCAUGCCAAUGGCACUGCCCGGUAGCUAAAUGCGGAAGAGAUAAGUGCUGAAAGCAUCUAAGCACGAAACUUGCCCCGAGAUGAGUUCUCCCUGAGACUUUAAGUCUCCUGAAGGAACGUUAAAGACGAUGACGUUGAUAGGCCGGGUGUGUAAGCGCAGCGAUGCGUUGAGCUAACCGGUACUAAUGAACCGUGAGGCUUAACCUU